GUGAGUUUUUCAAAGACUAUCAAAAUUGCACGAGUCCGAAGGACGAGUGCAAUUUGAAGUCUUUGAAAAACUCACGAGUGUAUGUUUUUUCAAAUUGCACGAGAAACCAAACUAUUAUACGUACUAGUUAAAACAUGAGCAGCCGAUCUGUAUCUGAUAUACUAACUCGAGCCGAAGGCGAGAGUUUGUAUAUCAGAUAAAGAUCGGAUGCGAAUGUUUUAACGUGCUUAAAAAACGACCCAUCUUAUGAGUUCAUUGGCGAAGUAAUUUUAAAAAUAAACAUUGUCAAAGCCGAGAAAAUCAAAGC
Molecule: non-coding RNA, 307 nt
Organism: Paramuricea clavata
Lineage: Eukaryota; Metazoa; Cnidaria; Anthozoa; Malacalcyonacea; Plexauridae
Source: the annotation of a GenBank genome assembly